This 823-nucleotide ribosomal RNA is filed under the name uncultured bacterium. RNAcentral describes it as "bacterial LSU rRNA". It matches the Rfam family "Bacterial large subunit ribosomal RNA", at positions 169 to 1041 of the family's 2925-position model. The record is from RNAcentral.
GCGUAACGAGGCGAACUCGGGGAACUGAAACAUCUAAGUACCCGAAGGAAGAGAAAUCAACCGAGAUUCCGAAAGUAGCGGCGAGCGAAAUUGGAUUAGCCCUUAAGCUUUUAAUGAUGCAGGUGAAGACUCUGGAAAGUGUCGCAGCAAAGGGUGAUAGCCCCGUAACCGACGCAUCAUAAUCAGUGAAAUCGAGUAGGGCGGGACACGUGAUAUCCUGUCUGAAUAUGGGGGGACCAUCCUCCAAGGCUAAAUACUACUGACUGACCGAUAGUGAACCAGUACCGUGAGGGAAAGGCGAAAAGAACCCCUGUGAGGGGAGUGAAAUAGAACCUGAAACCGUGUACGUACAAGCAGUAGGAGCACCUUCGUGGUGUGACUGCGUACCUUUUGUAUAAUGGGUCAGCGACUUAUAUUCAGUGGCAAGGUUAACCGUUUAGGGGAGCCGUAGGGAAACCGAGUCUUAACUGGGCGACACAGUCUCUGGAUAUAGACCCGAAACCGAGUGAUCUAGCCAUGGGCAGGUUGAAGGUUGAGUAACAUCAACUGGAGGACCGAACCGACUAAUGUUGAAAAAUUAGCGGAUGACUUGUGGCUAGGGGUGAAAGGCCAAUCAAACUCGGAGAUAGCUGGUUCUCCCCGAAAUCUAUUUAGGUAGAGCCUCGGACGAAUACUACUGGGGGUAGAGCACUGUUAAGGCUAGGGGGUCAUCCCGACUUACCAACCCUUUGCAAACUCCGAAUACCAGUAAGUACUAUCCGGGAGACACACGGCGGGUGCUAACGUCCGUCGUGAAGAGGGAAACAACCCAGACCGCCAGCUA